AGUGAACGCUGGCGGUAGGCCUAACACAUGCAAGUCGAACGGCAGCACAGGAGAGCUUGCUCUCUGGGUGGCGAGUGGCGGACGGGUGAGGAAUACAUCGGAAUCUACUUUUUCGUGGGGGAUAACGUAGGGAAACUUACGCUAAUACCGCAUACGACCUACGGGUGAAAGCAGGGGAUCUUCGGAUCUUGCGCGAUUGAAUGAGCCGAUGUCGGAUUACCUACUUGGCGGGGUAAAGGCCAACCAAGGCGACGAUCCUUAGCUGGUCUGAGAGGAUGAUCAGCCACACUGGAACUGAGACACGGUCCAGACUCCUACGGGAGGCAGCAGUGGGGAAUAUUGGACAAUGGGCGCAAGCCUGAUCCAGCCAUACCGCGUGGGUGAAGAAGGCCUUCGGGUUGUAAAGCCCUUUUGUUGGGAAAGAAAUCCAGCUGGUUAAUACCCGGUUGGGAUGACGGUACCCAAAGAAUAAGCACCGGCUAACUUCGUGCCAGCAGCCGCAUAA
Molecule: ribosomal RNA, 505 nt
Filed under: uncultured bacterium
Lineage: Bacteria
Description: partial 16S ribosomal RNA
Rfam family: Bacterial small subunit ribosomal RNA
Source: RNAcentral